Molecule: long non-coding RNA, 9153 nt
Organism: Anarrhichthys ocellatus (wolf-eel)
Lineage: Eukaryota; Metazoa; Chordata; Actinopteri; Perciformes; Anarhichadidae
Exons: 5
Source: RefSeq, a predicted model, not a curated record
UCAUAUUUAAAGAAACCUCCUUGAAGUGAGAGUGGGCUGUGAUUGCUGCAUGGCCGAUUGGAAGCUAUGAUUCAAUUGGCUGGCUGUCAGCUGGUUACAGCUGGGGGCGUAUGACUUCCGUAGAUAAAUAGUAGAUGUCCUUACCACAGAACUGAGCUGACCUCCAGGAGUACACUGUGGCACCUUUCAGCUGGCAGGCGGCUGUGUAGGCGGUGAAAGUCUUGCACUGCAUGUUGCUGCCGCCCUGGUAAAGACAGACAUCAUACAAGCAGUCGUUGAGGAAACCUGCGGGGUCGACCUUGGCGUGGCAGUCACGGAACGGGCCUGCGGGGUCGCUGAUGAGGCCACAGUAACUGUUAGUGCUGUAGGUUUCUUUCUGAGUGGCGUUACAGCCGGGACAUGGGCCUCUGCAGCCGUCUACGCAGCCGGGGAUUGUGGCGACUUUCCAGCUUUGACCGAGCUCCUCAGAGGUGGUGGCUUGUUUCCCAUCUCUCAUCUGCAUGUCGUCUUUGGGGUUGAGGUUGUAAUUGCCACAAAGACCUUGCAUCUUGCCCAUGUACGUACUGGGAACGGUGACUAUUGCUACACUGUUCCAGUCGUAGUACACGCUCACUCCGGAGUCCAUCUCGAUAACAGCAAACCAGCCGCUCGGGUAAAGAUGGAGUUUACUGCUGUUCAGCGUCAAAGGGAGGUAGGAGAGCUCGCCAUUUACCUUAAAAAGAUAAUAGAAAAUGGAAAAAAAAUUGAUAAAGUAAUUUGUAAACUCAAUAAUAAUAAAACAUAGAAUUAGAAAAUAACUACAUGUAUGUAGAGCCACAACAAUUAGUCAAUUAUUCUCUUAGUUUAUUUACAAAAAUGAAUUGGGACCAAUUUUGAUACUAAAACCGUAUAACUCAAUAUAUCUUUGUGUUUUGGACAGCUGAUUGAACAAAACAAGGCAUUCAAUGACGUCAUAUUUAGCUUUAGGAAGUUUCGAUGGGCAUAUUUAAUUGUUUCCUGGUGUUUUAUAUACUGAACAAUUAAUCGAUUAAUUGAUUAUUAAAACAACAACAAUCAUUAGUUGCAGCCCUACAAGUAUGAUGGUUUAUACGUUACCAUAACAGUGCCAGGGUGCUCUUUGCUGAUGACGAUGGUGUCUUCAUCCACUUUGACCUCCACCAGCUGGACAACGGACCCAAUCUUCUUAUCUUGACCAUUAUUCUGCAACACGACGCUAAAAUUUUCCAGGCUGGUUUGAUUGGAGGAGACGGCAGCCAUCUGAUACACACAAGUGCCCUGGAAGUUGUAGCGAUCCCCAUCAAAUGUCACAAAAUGUGGGUCACCAGAUACCAUACACGUUGCGUAGUUGACAGGAUAGCAACCUCUGAUCCCUUCCACUACUUGGCACUGCUGCCCUGCGGGACAGCUAAUCUGAUUGAAAGACAAACUUCCACCAGCGGAGCAUGUGUAGCGUUUGGUGCAGCUCUCACCGCCCCAGAAGGAGGCUCCGGCUUCCACAUAGUGACCCUCAUACAUGCAGCCGCACUGAGCCUGGGGGACACACUUGGUGGCGCUGAGCAUGAAGCCGUCAUUACAGACACAUGUCUCCACACAGGUGGCAUUGCAUGUUGUAGGAGUGUUUGGGUUUGCACAUGUGGCAGGACAGCCACUCCCACAGAACUCAUAGCGGCUGUUUUCUGGGCACUUGGGUGUAGCUGUGUGGACAAAGAAGAGACAGAUCCAGUUAUUCACAUGUAUUCAGUGAUGAAGGAAAUAUUCACAUCCUUUACUUAAAUAAAAGUACUAAUGUAAAAAUACUCUGGUGCUGCAUUGACAAUAUUACUUAAGUAAAUGUAUGUACACUAUGUAAAAUCAGGAAAAUGUACUUAAAGUAUGAAAGUAAAAGUACUAUAUGAGGAAACAUAACCCCUGUGAGCACACUAUUAUUUAUUAUUAGACCUUUAUUAUUAUUAUUACUCAUGCAUUAAUAUAAAACAGUUAUUCACUGUUGUUGUUGUUGAGGUAGAGGUAAGCAUUUUAUAUUGGACUGCAGCUAAUGAUUUUUUUCAUGAUGGAUUAAUCUGACGAACAUUUUCUCCAUUAAUCGAUCAAAAACAGCGAGAAAUGCCGUCUCAAUUAUCCAGAGCCCAAAGGGACACACCCACCAACAGUCCAAAAAAAUUAAAACGAUUAAACAGAAAAGCAACAAAUCUUCCCAUUUGAGAAGCCACAAUCAUAAAGUGUUUUUGCAUAUUUGCAUUAAAAAUUAUUUAGUUGUUGACAAUUUUCUGUCAUUCAACUAAUUGAUUAAUUAACUAGUUAUUUCAGCUGUGUAUAUACUGUUCGGUUGUUUAAUUUAUAACAAAGUGUCAUAUUUUCUAAAUUUAUUGCAAAAAUCUUAUUUUGUUAAGUAACUAGUACUAUAUUAAUGUAUGUUAUUACAAAAUGUAGUGAAGUAGGAGAAGAAAGUGGCAUGAAAAGAAAAAAACUCAACACUUUGGAUUACUCACGGCAUUCAGUCGGAGUCCUCCAGUUGGGACCUUUGGCCCCAGACCUCUGACAGAUUUCAGCGAAGCCUUGAAGAGUGUUGCAGAGAUACGUGUUCACAGUUUCACCUCUGCAGAGGUCAAGCAUGCAGUUACUUUUAAAGAUGCUGGAGUCGAUGUCAGGUUGACAACCCAGAAGUUCUACAAAAUUUAGUAUGAGGGCGCUACAGAAGAUUUGCUUCUGUAAUUUUUGAACUUCAUCGAGAGGACAGAUUUCACACACGUCACAUGCAUCGUGGCAACCGGCAUCGUCUGCGGCACCGGGAACCCUCCAGCUAUUUCCCAGCGCUGCCACGCUGCUGGCCACUGAACCACUGGGAGUGGUGAGAUCAUCUUCCUCUUUGUUGUUGAAGUUGCCACACAGGCCGCACACACUACCGGCAAAACUGCCGGGCACUGUGACGGCGAGGUACUCGUUCCAGUCGUACUGUAGGUUCAGUCCAAAGUCUGUCUCCAUGAUGACAUACAGACCUCUCUGGAAAAGCUUCACCUGGCCAUUGUUCAAGUUGAUCGGGAGAUUCCAUUUUUGAUAGUUCACCUGAAAAUAGAUCCAGUUCCACAUUUAAUACAACAAUAUGUUUGAUAGAGACACCACAUUGCACCUGCCAAAGAUAUUUUCAUUGCUUUGGUUCUUUUUUGUUUGUUUGUUAGAUAGUAGAAUAUCGCCAAAACUAUACAUUUUAAAAGUUAGUCCAGUCAAGGAAGUGAGUAGACAAAAAAAAUGUACGUCUCCUCAACACACAACCAUAAUUACAUUUUGAACAGAAGCCAAAAAGAAGGCCUCUAAAUUUGUGUCAAAUAUUUAGAUUUUUCAUAUUUUACUUUUUUCAGUUACCUAUUAUAUUAUAUUAUGUAAAUGUCAGUAUUAAAGCUUUCUCUACAGUUCUUUACUGAUUUUGUUGUCCUUAUAGUAGUCAUACUAGGUUUAAAAAAAUAAUAUUUUUUUAAUCAGAAGUUCACAAAUAAAAUCUGUGUUUUUAACAAUAGUGGAAUGUAAACUUCUAAAAACUCCAAACUACCACAAAAAUAACUACAACAUGGCCUCUACUGCACUUAAAUGAAUACAAAUAGAAAGCCAAUGCAUCCCAUAUAACAAAAAAAUCAAAGAAUUUUCAACUAUAACAACGAAGAUUAGAAUACUCAGCAUUCAAACAAUGCCAACACACAAAACAUGAAACAGUGCAACACUACUGACUGACUCACCCGAACAAUACCAAACUCAGAGCGAAGUAUUUCGAUGUUGAUCCCGUGAACAUUGAUAGUGACCGUCUCCACUGUCGGGACCUGUACGUUGCCCUCGUUCGCGUUCUUGGUCUCCACCUCAAAGGCCGGGAGGGUGUCAUCAACAUGGCAGUUCUUGGCCAGGGUGUAGGUGCAGUUGCCCGUGAAGGUGUAGUGAUAGUUAUCAAAAGUGUAGUGGAGAGUGCCAAUGACCCAGCAGGUGCCUGACUGUGGUGUUAAAGUAGUUGGUCCUCCUCUGCAAAACCCUGGAAAACAUUAUAAAUGUCUUUAGUGUGUUUUUUCCUGACUGUUUUUUCCAUUGGAUUAUAGUCAACAAAGAAUAAGUUAGGUUCUGCAAAAUGUACUUCAAACAUUUAAGUACGACAUUAUUAAAUGUAUCACCAUAACAAACAGUUGAGUCUCAUUCAGUAUGUGACAAAAGUUAUAUUUCAAUUACUUAAAGCCUUCAAAGAUCCUAGAAUUAAUGUCCACAGUCGAGUCAUCAAUGUAUUGUUUUAUGGUUCACAUUGACAUAAAAUCUUCUACUAUUUAUAGCUGACAAUAUGUAUUGAUUUAUUCUGCAGUCCAAGCUGUUUCUUUAACUUUAUUUGUGAUCUAGUUCAACUCACAUACAGACGUCUAACUGAAACACUUUUCAUUUGUCAUUUUCAUUAUUUAUAAAAUAAUGCUUCAUAACUUACCACUCAGGAGAAGAGCUGAAACGAUUGCAGCAAACACACCCAUGUUUGUCAGUGGAGGGGACCUAAUACCUAAAAAGAAACCAAUAAGUCAGGAAAAUUGUACCUUUUUAACUUUUGGUCAUCCUGCAAGUAAACACAUCUCAAUAGAUAGAUGCCAAAAUGUUGCAAUCCUCAAUUUUGUCUCUUUGUCAUGAACAGUAGAAAUAAAUUCAUUGGAAAAAAAAGAAAUAAAUUACAAGAAAAAGGAAGAGAGAAAUGCAUCAAUUUUGACUUUAGCAUCUGAAAAGACAAAUGCAUACAAAAACCUUUUACAAAAUAGCUAGAGAACAGAAUUGUUAUUUUGUUUAAUACUUUAGUUAUCUAAAUCAUUCUCACCUGUGCUGGUCAACAGGCAUUCGGGGGUUCAGUUGCAGGAUCUGAGGAUCCUUAAAUACUUUCUGACCUCCACCAAUAGACCAAGCUUCUUUAUGUGGCUUUUCCCAGAAGUGAGCAAAUACAGCAUCACGUGACACACGUCUUGAAAACCUUUGUUGACCAGGAGACAAGUUAAUCGUAUUUUACCAGGUCAUAAAGGAGUUCACUGCAGUGAAAAAAACAAGAACUAGUGUAUAAGCACAAGCAAAUUAUGGUCAAAGGGUAAAGCAAAACUACCUAAAACAGGAUGAAAGACCGCUGUGAUUAUUAUACAGAUCAGUUUGAAAUGACUCUUAGUCCCUUUGUUAUAUGUGACUGGUCUGCUGGCUUUGAGCCCAUCCAUUUGACUUCAAAGUGUUACUGUAAAACAUUCAACAAGUAUGAUUUAUUUGUUGACUUUGUGGCAGCUUUGUCACCACCUACAAGAAUCAUGGGUGGGUGUGAGUUGUUUAAAUGCAUAACUCUCAAUACUAUCAUGACUUAUUUCGCAAGGAUCAAGUGGAGCUCUGUUCUGCUGUCCUGCAGGAUAGUGGACAUAUUGGGACAUGGUGGUGUUGUUUCUUAGUUGUACCAACGUUGUGUUUUGUGUGAUGUUAAAAGAUAAAGACUUUAUCUGAUUGUUCUAUUUAUUUUGCAGGAACACAAUUCAAAAGGUAAAAGAGUCUUUGUUUGCACAUAUAUAUAUCUGACAAACACACACAUAUACAGCGGGUAAAAUAAGUAUUGAACACGUCACCAUUUUUCUCAGUAAAUAUAUUUCUAAAGGUGCUAUUGACAUGAACUUUUCACCAGAUGUCGGGAACAACCCAAAUAAUCUAUACAUACAAAGAAAUCCAAACAAAUAAGUUCAGAAAUUAAGUUAUGUGUAAUAAAAUGGAAUGACACAGGGAAAAAGUAUUGAACACGCUCACUGAAAUUUAUUUAAUACUUCGUACAAAAGCCUUUGUUGGUAAUGACGGUUUCAAGACGCCUCCUGUAUGGAGAAACUAGGCGCAUGCAUUGCUCAGGUGUGAUUUCAAAUCUUGAAGGUUCCGUGGGCCUCUCUUCUAUGAACUCUGAUCUUUAGUUCUUUCCCUAGAUUUUAUGUUGGAUUCAAGUCAGCUGAUCAUCGGUGGGCCAUUCUAGCAGCUUCAUUGUAUUUCUCUGAAACCAGUUGAGAGUUUCCUUGGCUGUGUGUUUGGGUUCAUUGUCUUGCUAAAAUGUCCACCCUCGUUUCAUCUUCAUCAUCGUGGUAGAUGGCAGCAGAUUUUUAUCAAGAACAUUUUUCCAUUCAUCCUUCCUUCAAUUAUAUGAAGUUUGCCAGUGCCGUAUGCUGAAAAACAGCCCCGCACAUGAUGUUCCCUCCAAACUUCACUGUUGGUAUGGUGUUUUUGGGGUGAUAUGCAGUGCCAUUUGACCUCCAAACAUGGUGUGUAUUAUGAUAUCCAAAGAGUUAAAUUUUGAUCUCAUCUGACCAGACUAUAUUCUCCCAGUAUUUCACAGGCUUGUCUAGAGAGAGAGAGAUACAGAUCAUGGCAAUGCAAUUAAAUGCAAAUUAAAUCUGUAAAUGCAUAAUAUUAUAUAACAAAUUAAAACAUUUAAAAGGGAACAAAAGUUAAUAUAGACCAGAUACUGAAUGGUAAGAUUCCUAGCUGCACGUAUAACAGUAUUUACUGUAUUUAGAUUGGAACAGCCUCAUGUCAACAUGGAAGAUGUAACAGACAAUAAACUUGGUAACUAACGAAACAUUUAUUGUAUUUGCAGACCUCCUAAAAACCAUAAUGAAAAAAUAACGUGAAAUUUGACAGGAGAGGUCCAGAAGCCACAGGCUGAUACAACGGACCUUCCCUUUACUUCAGGAGAAAAACAAACAAUGACAAUCAAAGGGGGAAGAAAUUAAACUGCUUGCAAACUGUGUUGUCUAGUGUUUGAGCAAAUAGCUCUUCUUUUAAAUUCACUCGAGUGACGCCAGUCAGGCCGAACAGACCUGCGUUGACAAAGAUAAUGAAGUAGAGGGAAAGAGCUCCAUGGAGUAGUUCCAGGGGUUAACUAGUGUAGCAGGAUAACAACAGCAGUCCAUAGAUAACUAAAGCUAUAAUGAACUACUGGAAAUUUACGGUGGAUUUUCAACGGUAUCUUACAGUAUUUUAUAAUAACUGUAACAUACAGUUAAAUGUUCUUCCCCCGCAUGUAAAUUAACAGUCAAUGCCGUCAAUUAAUCAUAACAGCAGACUACUAUAUUUUAUCAGCAUAAUACAGUAAGUGGUGGAUACACGCUUCUCUAUACGAGUUCAGUGAGUCACGAUCAUCAACAUCGUACUGUCUAUUGUAGAUUAAUGUGUCUGUAAUGACGAUAGAAUAUUUUUAUUGUUCAAACUGCUCAUUGCCUACAAGUCACUUUUGAGUGACAAGACGUGACUGACUGCUCCUGAACGUGACUUUGGACCUCACAGCUUCAGUUCAUCCUUCUGAGCAGAGCCAUGUGGAGAUCAACCGAGGAGCCGAGGUCAACAUAAAUAAAGUUAAUCACCAAUUACAGUGUUAAGAUGUAACGUUAGUAACCUAACUUGUGUUUACUUGUGCUAUUAUUGAACCGAUCAAACUAAUUUCAUUGUUGAACGCUAGUCCAUUGUGGUCCAUUGUCUUAGCUUAAUUUCUUCACCAGUCAAUCAGCUCAUCAUAUAGGGAAGUGGGAGACCCAUCUUUAUAAAGAGGCGUGGCCUAUCGUGUAACCGGAGAUUUCAGAAAAUGAAUCACAACCGGAAGAGAUCUCAGAAGCUGUGUGCGCACUACUUACCCUGUUCCCCUUGUUGUAGUAAGAAACACACACACAGUUCAUGUUUGCCUUUUGAAGACACUGAGUUCAUUAUUUUAUUACUAAAACAGUUCCAGUUGAAACUGAAUUUGAUUUACCCACAACCCUCCAGUAUUGUUACAGGUGUGAUCAACUGCUCCAAUCAGCCAUCAGCUUCUUUCUUUAGAAAGAACCGGUUCUCUCCCCAUCACAGUAAAAAAACACAUUGCAUAUCACCUGAUGAUUUAUGACACAACAGUGUGAGCUACUCGACCUGUUUGCAGUGUCAAAGUCAAACAGAGAACUGGUCUGUUGAGAAACAGGGCGGGGGCAAAAAGUGAGUAGAGACACUGGCUGUUAAUCUAGGGACAGUUGGAUUGUUUGCUGUGAAGAGACACACAAUCUGUGUGUAAAUAGAUGAAAGCAAGAUCUGAAGUGGACUACAGAAAAGAAGUACAAAAACCCAAACAGCUUCAAUGAGGGCUCUGGGGCUUGUCGUCAUUGUAUCCAUUUUGGUGUCCAUGGCACUGGUGAUGAUUAUUCUGAGUCAACAACAAUUGUUGAACACAGUGUACAAGGAAACAGAUAAGCUGCCAAUGGAGUUCGAGAGACUCGGGAAUGAACAAUCACAAUUAGGUACCGCUAAAGUCCUGUUGGAAAAGCUGCUGACUCAGGGGGAAAAAGUAGUGGAGGAUCUGGAGGCUGAGGUGGCCAAAACCGGCCCAGACAUGGAGAAGACGAAAACAGAAGUUGACGCCUGUGAAGCAAGAAAGAAAACAGAAGCAGACGAGCUGGCCGCCAGGGAGAAGGAACUCACAGAGACUGAAGCACCUUUAAAAGCAGAGUCUGACGCCUGGAACCAAGAGAUUACAAAUCUGAAAGCACAAGUGAUAGGGUACAGGCCAAUAUGUGAUUAUGUGAAGGAUGAGGAGAAAGCUAAGACAUCGUGUGGCAUCAAAGCCUAACCUCUCGCCUGAAGAAGAUGGAGUAAGAUCUCAACUCUCAACAAUUGGUAAACUCACUUUUGCCGUUAAAGUUUUAUAUUGAAAAUGAUUACCGGAAGUGUCGCUAUGUUACGUUGUCUAUCGUGACACUAGUGGUGAAGGUACAUGUUGUGGCCACUAGAGGGCCUCACGAUUAUUAAUAAACUGCAUUCUGUUAAAAACUCAAUGGAGGUAAAACUGAGAAAAUCAGCGUAUGGAUUAACAAAGUUUGGUGUUUUUACAUGUCAUGACUACCUAUUUUUUUUAAAGAGAGUUGUAUUGUCAUUUCCCCCUGAUUACCGUCUUACAGUGCAAACUAGUACAACUGCCAGCUAGCAAGAAAGCUAGCGAAUGAAACAAGCAAUGAUGACAUCAAAUGUUCCUGUACCAGUUUUUAUUAUCUAUGUCAUCGUCAAAUUUCAUUUUUGUAGAUUUAUAUAAAAUACGACCGUGUAUUGACUUGCCAUGCUGCUUCUGACUGAGAGCCACAGGUCAGAAGCUUCAUUUAAUGCUAAUAAAACACAUUUUAAAACAAA